Long non-coding RNA from Ochotona princeps (American pika), 355 nucleotides. RefSeq lists it as uncharacterized. Lineage: Eukaryota; Metazoa; Chordata; Mammalia; Lagomorpha; Ochotonidae. The transcript has 5 exons. The record is from RefSeq and is a predicted model, not a curated record.
AGUGGGGCGUCGCGCGGAUUCCCGCUGGCCAUGGAGGGCACCGCCGUGGCCGUCAGCGAGAUUUUGAAAUAUUUAAUAAUUUACUGGUCGUGUGAAACAGGAGUAUCCAAGGGAGCAUUGCUAGAAGGGCAGCUAGUAAUUUCCAUCAAAGCAUCAACUUCUAAGAAGCAAGCAAGCAUCCUUCACUGCAAAACAACCAUUGCUUCUGUGGGAUGCAUUUACAGUGGCUUUGUCCUGAAGAAAUUUCUAAAAGGUUGAUGAAAAGCCCAGAAUACUGACAAGAGAUUGUCUGAUUAUAAAGCAUUUUUUACACAGAAUCAUCGUGGUGCAUCCUAAGAUAAGAUUUAACUUCCGG